This 229-nucleotide ribosomal RNA is filed under the name uncultured bacterium. RNAcentral describes it as "partial 16S ribosomal RNA". It matches the Rfam family "Bacterial small subunit ribosomal RNA", at positions 568 to 796 of the family's 1533-position model. The record is from RNAcentral.
UGCGCAGGUGGUUUUGUAAGUCAGAUGUGAAAGCCCCGGGCUCAACCUGGGAACUGCGUUUGAAACUACAAGACUAGAGUGUGGCAGAGGGGGGUGGAAUUCCGCGUGUAGCAGUGAAAUGCGUAGAGAUGUGGAGGAACACCGAUGGCGAAGGCAGCCCCCUGGGUCAACACUGACGCUCAGGCACGAAAGCAUGGGGAGCAAACAGGAUUAGAUACCCUGGUAGUCC